Long non-coding RNA from Struthio camelus australis, 1406 nucleotides. NCBI's taxonomy places the organism in Eukaryota, Metazoa, Chordata, Aves, Struthioniformes, Struthionidae. The record is from Ensembl.
AUUGCCGGUUGUCUUUUAAAAUGCAGUGAAUUACACGGAUAUAUUUUUUCAUUUUUCCCUAGACAUGGAGACGACCUGAUCGUCACACCUUUUGCACAGGUAAGUUUGAAGUCUGUUGCCUCACAUUAACACAGACUUCGAGAGCCUUAGGUGCAGUCAUAUAAAAUCUCUGUUUUUGUUUACUGUAGGUCCUGGCAAGUUUACGAAGUGUGAGAAACAACUUUACAUUGCUUACCAAUUUGCACGGCACAUCGAACAAGCCUUGGUUGCCCUUGAUAACUGCUGCGCUCUGGUCCCGGACCUGCGGUGGAAAUGCGUGUGCGGAGACCCCAGGCUCCUGGGGACGGGCGCCGUGCCGCGGCGCGUCGGCAUCGCUGCGGACGCAGCUCGAAGCCCACUCAGAUAGCUGCGGAGGCGCUGCUUCCUCCUGCGCGUGGUUAGCAUGUGAGUGUAUGUGUGCAUGAGUGUGUGCAUGAGUGUAAGUGCAUGUGAGUGCGUGUGUGCAUGUGAGUGUAUGUGUGCAUGAGUGUGUGCAUGAGUGUAAGUGCAUGUGAGUGCGUGUGUGCAUGUGAGUGUAUGUGUGCAUGAGUGUGUGCAUGAGUGUAAGUGCAUGUGAGUGCGUGUGUGCAUGUGAGUGUAUGUGUGCAUGAGUGUGUGCAUGAGUGUAAGUGCAUGUGAGUGCGUGUGUGCAUGUGAGUGUAUGUGUGCAUGAGUGUGUGCAUGAGUGUAAGUGCAUGUGAGUGCGUGUGUGCAUGUGAGUGUAUGUGUGCAUGAGUGUGUGCAUGAGUGUAAGUGCAUGUGAGUGCGUGUGUGCAUGUGAGUGUAUGUGUGCAUGAGUGUGUGCAUGAGUGUAAGUGCAUGUGAGUGCGUGUGUGCAUGUGAGUGUAUGUGUGCAUGAGUGUGUGCAUGAGUGUAAGUGCAUGUGAGUGCGUGUGUGCAUGUGAGUGUAUGUGUGCAUGAGUGUGUGCAUGAGUGUAAGUGCAUGUGAGUGCGUGUGUGCAUGUGAGUGUAUGUGUGCAUGAGUGUGUGCAUGAGUGUAAGUGCAUGUGAGUGCGUGUGUGCAUGUGAGUGUAUGUGUGCAUGAGUGUGUGCAUGAGUGUAAGUGCAUGUGAGUGCGUGUGUGCAUGUGAGUGUAUGUGUGCAUGAGUGUGUGCAUGAGUGUAAGUGCAUGUGAGUGCGUGUGUGCAUGUGAGUGUAUGUGUGCAUGAGUGUGUGCAUGAGUGUAAGUGCAUGUGAGUGCGUGUGUGCAUGUGAGUGUAUGUGUGCAUGAGUGUGUGCAUGAGUGUAAGUGCAUGUGAGUGCGUGUGUGCAUGUGAGUGUAUGUGUGCAUGAGUGUGUGCAUGAGUGUAAGUGCAUGUGAGUGCGUGUGUGCAUGUGAGUGUAUGUGUGCAUGAGUGUGUGCAUGA